Molecule: ribosomal RNA, 625 nt
Filed under: uncultured bacterium
Lineage: Bacteria
Description: bacterial SSU rRNA
Rfam family: Bacterial small subunit ribosomal RNA
Source: RNAcentral
GAGUACGUCGGCAACGAUGAAACUCAAAGGAAUUGACGGGGGCCCGCACAAGCGGAGGAGCAUGUGGUUUAAUUCGAUGAUACGCGAGGAACCUUACCUGGGCUUGAACGUAUGGUGCAUGUAUGUGAAAGCAUACUUUUCAGCAAUGAACUUCAUACGAGGUGCUGCAUGGUUGUCGUCAGCUCGUGCCGUGAGGUGUUAGGUUAAGUCCUGCAACGAGCGCAACCCCUAUUUUUAGUUGCCAUCAGGUCAAGCUGGGCACUCUAGAGAGACUGCCUGCGCAAGCAGAGAGGAAGGUGGGGAUGACGUCAAAUCAGCACGGCCCUUACGUCCAGGGCUACACACGUGCUACAAUGGUCGGUACAGAGGGCAGCUACUUAGUGAUAAGAUGCGAAUCUCCAAAGCCGGUCUUAGUUCGGAUCGAAGUCUGCAACUCGACUUCGUGAAGCUGGAUUCGCUAGUAAUCGUAUAUCAGCCAUGAUACGGUGAAUACGUUCCCGGGCCUUGUACACACCGCCCGUCAAGCCAUGGAAGUUGGGGGUACCUGAAGUCGAUUACCGCAAGGGAUUGCCUAGGGUAAAACCGAUAACUGGGGCUAAGUCGUAACAAGGUAACCAAGGGCGAA